UUGAAUAGGAGAAGCUCCCAAGAGGGUGUCAACUCCCCUAUACUUGCAAGAUUUGCAGUAAACCACUCCCCUUACGCCUACAAACAUCCUCAUCGGAGGUGGAGUUGGUGGUUUAACUGGCGGAUAUGGUUUUACUGGAGGCUUAACUGGCGGAGAUGGUUUUACUGGUGGCUUAACUGGCGGAGAUGGUUUUACUGGUGGCUUAACUGGCGGAGAUGGUGGUUUACUAGGAGAAUGUGCUGGUGGAGUUGGCGGUUUAACUGGUGGAGAUGGUUUUACUGGUGGUUUAACUGGCGGAGAUGGUGGUUUGCUAGGAGAAUGUGCUGGUGGAGUUGGCGGUUUAACUGGUGGUUUAACUGGCGGAGAUGGAGGUUUACUAGGAGAAUGUGCAGGUGGAUACGGUGGUUUAACUGGUGGAGAUGGUGGUGGUGAAGAGUGAGAAGGAGGAGGAGCAGGGGCUGGAGAGUGCUUGUGGUGGUGGUGGUGGUGGUGGUGGCCACCUUUAUGAGGCUUAGGGGCUUCAACAGGUGGGGAGCUAACAGAGGAAUGAGGAGCUAGUUCUGAAGUCACAAUGCCAUCAACAUUUUGGCCAAGAACUGUGAAUGAAGUAACUAGUAGUAAAGCUACAAUAAACCCAAUGGACUUUGUUGGAACAAACCCCAUUUUGUUCGACAAA
RNAcentral lists this long non-coding RNA (676 nucleotides) under Capsicum annuum. Its description in RNAcentral is "long non-coding RNA (CANN_LNC003461)". The record is from RNAcentral. Lineage: Eukaryota; Viridiplantae; Streptophyta; Magnoliopsida; Solanales; Solanaceae.